This is an RNA transcript of Sinocyclocheilus grahami, 4606 nucleotides long. It is a transcript of the gene named NUAK family SNF1-like kinase 1, with no coding region annotated. Lineage: Eukaryota; Metazoa; Chordata; Actinopteri; Cypriniformes; Cyprinidae. The transcript is spliced from 8 exons. The record is from RefSeq and is a predicted model, not a curated record.
GACUCCGCCCCCUUUGUCUUUAUUCAGUGUUUCUCAAUCUGAAGGAGGACAGAGAGAAAGAAUCACAGACCAGGACACCGGGAGGAGAGACGGGCCGAACACACCGAACCAUGGCCACAGCAGACACGAGACCGCAGCACAUCCGCGCACCCAGCCUCACAUCACGGAUCACCUGCACCAGAACCGAGCUGACUGACACCACGGCGGAUCCGAGGCCAGAAUGAGGGUGAUUUACGUCCAGAACGCCGGCGUGGUCGCUGCUUUCUCGACUGAGAUCUUCUGCGGUAGAUUGAAACAAAGGAAUAACGGAGAAAUCAUGAUCGAACGCGCCACGGGAAAGAGAACACGUCAUAACGGAGUAGGCUACGUCAUAAUGGUCUAGAACGCGUCAUAAUAGAUUAAUGCACAAUAGAUACAUUGUCGUUCUAAUUGUGAAUGAUACAUUGUAGCAGUUCAUAAGUGCCAUAAAACCACAUGGCACGUGUUCAUUCGUUUCUUUUUAAUAAUAUGCCUAUUUAGUCCGUUCAUAGCCCUGUUUUAUCGUUCAUAAUUAGACUGGGAUUAUUAUUUUCUUUUAGAUAGCCUACCAUAGCCGGUUAUAGGUAGAAUAGAUAGACACCUCAUUUAAAUAUGAGUCAUUUUUGACAAUCAUAAAUUAGUUUAUAUGUGAACAUAAUAAACCUUUGCAUUGUCAUUUAUUUAUUUAUUUAUAUGCUAAUUAGCUAUAUUAAUUAGAUUUAUAUUAUCAAUAUUUCAAAGCAUUUAGUCAAGAUAUUUAAACAUAGAGGGAGGUGUAAAAUAUCAUCCUCCGGCGUGAUGGAGACACAAAUGCCAGGUGACCCGCCGGGCCCCUCAGUGGUGACGGAAGCCCCUGAGGGCCCCGGUGAGGUCAAACGCAGCAGCUCUGGUGUGAAGAAACAUCAUCACAAACACAACCUCAAGCAUCGCUACGAGCUGCUGGAGACCCUGGGGAGAGGAACCUAUGGCAAAGUCAAGAAGGCCAUCGAGCGCCAUUCUGGAAGAGAGGUUGCCAUCAAGUCUAUCAGGAAGGAGAAGAUUAAAGAUGAACAGGACAUGGUUCACAUUCGACGAGAAAUCGAGAUCAUGUCGUCUCUUCGCCACCCACAUAUCAUCUCAAUAUAUGAAGUGUUUGAAAAUAAGGACAAGAUAGUGAUUGUCAUGGAAUACGCCAGUAAGGGUGAACUCUAUGACUACAUCAGCGAACGCAGACGCCUGACUGAGAGAGAAACCCGACACUUCUUCAGGCAGAUUGUCUCUGCUGUGCACUUCUGCCAUAAGAAUGGUGUUGUUCACCGAGACCUGAAACUGGAAAAUGUUCUACUGGAUGAAAACUGUAACAUAAAGAUUGCUGAUUUUGGGUUGUCCAACCUGUAUCAUAAAGACAAGCUCCUCCAGACCUUUUGUGGUAGUCCACUGUACGCAUCCCCAGAGAUCGUCAACGGCAGACCAUACCGUGGUCCAGAGGUGGACAGCUGGGCUCUGGGGGUUUUGCUGUAUACGCUGGUCUAUGGCAGCAUGCCAUUCGAUGGAGGGGACCACAAAAAUCUCAUUUGGCAAAUCAGCAACGGAGAGUAUCGAGAACCAUCCCAGUCAUCAGAUGCUCGUGGUCUUAUCCGCUGGAUGCUGAUGGUCAACCCCGAGCGGCGGGCCACAGUGGAAGACAUCGCCAAUCACUGGUGGGUAAACUGGGGAUGGAAAACCAGUGUAUGUGACUGUGAAUCGCAAAGGGAUGCUGGCUCACCCAUGCUGGCUCGUCUCAUUGACUGGCAGAACCGGACCGAGCCUCGACCCGCUAAAGCCAUCCGGUCCGAGCCAUUCCUGCUUGUCCGUCAACGGCCCAAAAAGUCUAAGAAAGAGAAUGAUGACGGUGUGUCUCACUGUAAUGGAGAUGACAGCCUGGGCCUCAAGAGACCAAAGGGCAUCCUGAAGACAAGAACCUCUGAAGAGCAACACUCUCCAAGUCUGGAAGAAAUAGAAUCCAGUGUGGGAACCCCAGAGAAGGAAUCCGGGCCUGAAGAUGAAGGGGGCGAGGAGGAGCAGGGGCUAACAGGCAACUCUCCUACCAAAGCGGUCUCUAUCCUUCCGAAGAAGGGAAUUCUAAAAAACAACCAACAACGAGAAUCAGGGUACUAUUCUUCCCCAGAGCGCAGUGAGUCCUCUGACCUGCUAGGUUGCAACAUUACACCUCUUGCCGCCAGCUCACCACCAAAGCGAGCAGUUGGUAGGAAGGGCAUCUUGAAGCGCAACGGGAAGUAUUCUACAUACAGUGGCGCUCCUCCUUUGAGUGUCCUUGGGGAACCAGCACCUGGCGAUUCUGGUUUAUCCCGCAGUCAGAGUCGCCCAUCUAGUAUUGUAAGGGAGGAUAGGGACACCAUCACCAACAGUUCCUUCAGUGGCACUGACUGGCCCCCACCCGGUGCCCGCCCCAACAUCAGAGGCUGUGUGUCUGCAGAAAACCUUCUCCAGCUGGCCAACUUCAAAGGUCUCCAGGCAGCUCCUCCCCUACAUAGUGGGAAAUUCAGCCGAGGAACGCGGGGCUCUCCGGGGGAUAACAGCAGCUUCUCUCUACUAGGAGAUCUUGAUGAUAUGACUCAGGUGUACCAACAAGCCCUGGACAUCAGCAACAACCUGUCAUAGGGAUGGGGGCCAGUUGAGAGGGGCCUAGAAAGAAAGAAGGUGGAGCAAGUGGUAGAUGUUUGUUCGGCAUGUUGUUGACGACCAGUGCAAAACUGGGAUUCUAUGAAUGUGAGUCCUUUUUCAAUGGGAUGAUAUUGGAGGUUGUACACAACCAAACCUUAACUCCUGACCCUUAACCCUAAUCCUACCCUAUUUUACUUGACCUUUACCCAACCCAAUCUUAUACACAGUUAAAAUUAUAGUAUAUUAAUUAUAGGAACUACAGCCUAGGGGGAUUUAAGGGUUUGAAGUAAGUAAAAUUGAAGUUGGUACUCUGGGACAUUAUCCCCCUACAGGCAAGGAAUGAUAUUAAAUGUUUACAUAUUAAGUAUAAGGUGAGUUAGCAUCACAGUAUGGCAUCAUGUAACAGCAGCCUUGAUGAAACAAAAAUAAGAGCCAACCUGAGUUUAUCAAGCACCUUAAAACUCUCACGGAGCCGUUUGUGAUAUUUACUUCCAAAAAAAGAAACCAGGGUCUUGCUCCAAAUGAACUGUUGUUGUGUAUUAUUUAUUAAUAUAUAUUUUUGUAGAUUUAGUGAUACAAAACUGGUGUGGUCUGGCAGUACUGGAAGAAUAAGAAACUGAAAUCUCUCGUUGCCCUUGGUUGGAACUGACAUAUAUAAUUGUUAUUUUUCUUUCUUGGUUAUUUUAAUAUGACAUUUAAACUGCAUAUGUAAUGAUCAAACUCGUAUUGAUCCUAUGAGUCGAAGCAUAUAUAUUGAUUUAUAGAAGUGCCUUUUUGUUUGUUUGUUUUACAUUUUUUAAUUCAUAUUAAAUUAUGUAUGUCAUUUCCUUAAGGUGGAGAGAGAUGCCAGAGGAAGCUGUCAUCAGAUGAACAGCGUAUUAUUGUUUUUAUUUUAUUAUUAUUUUUUUUUUGUAUCGAAUGCUUAGAAGAGCCCCAGGAACUCUGAGCACAAAGCCUACCCUACAGAACUACCUGACUUCAAGGUUAAAUUUGCCCCACUUCUGCCGAGAGGCUAGUGCUUUACAGUGCAUUAUUCAAGAAGAAGAAUGGUCAGUCCAUGAACACCUUGAAAGGGAGUUUAUUUUCAGGACUCGCUGGGUAAUUCAAGGUGCCAGCAUGCUGGAUUGGUUGUUUCUGAUUGAGUCCUGACAGGAACAUGUGUGCAUGCACCAUGUGUUUCUCUAGAAUGGUGCUCUUGUGGUUUCUUGAUUGGGUUAGCUGACUGUUUAGAGUUCUGGACACCUUCACAUUAACAAGGUUUAACUCAAGGUAGAAAUGUCAGACACAAUCUCAGCUCCAAAGAAUGUUCAGGCCGAGACAAGCUUGUUUGACUAUUUCCAAAGGUUUUGGACUGUAGGAACAUUGUCUCUCCUGAUGUUUAUGUGUUGAUGCUUAGGGAUUGUAAUUGCUUAGCUUUAAGAAUAAUGGAUUAUUGGUUCUCUGUUGAACUUUGAUGCCCAAAUCACUCCCGUUAGAGCUAAAAAAACACCCCAAAAAAACAAGUAGACUAAUUUGUUUCAAAGCCGUGAUGAAGCAGCAAAUUCCAAAGGCUCUUUAGAGGCAUGUUUGGACUAGAUCUUGUGAGCUUGCCUCUGUCAUAGGUUUAAUGGGACAGAAGCUUUAUUGUUUCAGAAUCUUUAGUCCUUUCUUUGUUGUCUACUUGCAGAAUUUCAAGUGCAAUUUUAUUUUUUUAAGGCUGUUGUCUAAAUGUUUUUAGAAGGUAAGUGUGAAGUAGCUGUAGUAGAAAGAGAGGUAUUUACCAAGGUAUGUUCAUGAAAGCAUUUUAUGGAUGGAAGACACUUUUCCAGUAAGAGGGACACAUAGAAUUAUUCACUGGAAAGGAUGAUGUAGCUUUUUAUUUUGCUGCCUGUGAAGAAAGACUAGUGCAAGUGUAGAAAUAAUGAGAUGAAGAAAGUAGAUGAAAGGAUAAGGCAAGUAUUUUGUA